RNAcentral lists this ribosomal RNA (274 nucleotides) under uncultured bacterium. Its description in RNAcentral is "partial 16S ribosomal RNA". It matches the Rfam family "Archaeal small subunit ribosomal RNA", at positions 473 to 747 of the family's 1478-position model. The record is from RNAcentral.
AAACCAGCACCUCAAGUGGUCAGGAGGAUUACUGGGCCUAAAGCAUCCGUAGCCUGUUCUAUAAGUUUCCGGUUAAAUCCAUUAGCUCAACUAAUGGGCCGCCGAAAAUACUGUAGAACUAGGGAGUGGGAGAGGUAGACGGUAUUCGGUAGGAAGGGGUAAAAUCCUUUGAUCUAUUGAGGACCACCUGUGGCGAAGGCGGUCUACCAGAACACGUUCGACGGUGAGGGAUGAAAGCUGGGGGAGCAAACCGGAUUAGAAACCCCGGUAGUCC